UUGGAGGGCAAGUCUGGUGCCAGCAGCCGCGGUAAUUCCAGCUCCAAUAGCGUAUAUUAAAGUUGUUGCAGUUAAAAAGCUCGUAGCUGAAUUUCGGGGUUAGUAGGCUGGUCAUGCCACAGGUAUGCACUGGUCUUACUGAUUCCUCCUUCCUGAUGAACCGUAAUGCCAUUAAUUUGGUGUUGCGGGGAGUCUGGACUGUUACUUUGAAAAAAUUAGAGUGUUUAAAGCAGGCUAACGCUUGAAUACAUUAGCAUGGAAUAACGAAAUAGGACGUUCGAUCUUAUUUUGUUGGUUUCUAGGAUUGACGUAAUGAUUAAUAGGGAUAGUUGGGGGCAUUAGUAUUCAAUUGUCAGAGGUGAAAUUCUUGGAUUUAUUGAAGACUAACUACUGCGAAAGCAUUUGCCAAGGAUGUUUUCAUUAAUCAAGAACGAAAGUUAGAGGAUCGAAGACGAUCAGAUACCGUCGUAGUCUUAACCAUAAACUAUGCCGACUAGGGAUCGGAUGAUGUUAAUUUUAUAAUGACUCAUUCGGCGCCUUACGGGAAAC
RNAcentral lists this ribosomal RNA (549 nucleotides) under Glomus sp. C/1-24. RNAcentral's name for it is "SSU rRNA". It matches the Rfam family "Eukaryotic small subunit ribosomal RNA", at positions 548 to 1098 of the family's 1831-position model. Lineage: Eukaryota; Fungi; Glomeromycota; Glomeromycetes; Glomerales; Glomeraceae. The record is from RNAcentral.